RNAcentral lists this unclassified non-coding RNA (244 nucleotides) under Hevea brasiliensis (rubber tree). Lineage: Eukaryota; Viridiplantae; Streptophyta; Magnoliopsida; Malpighiales; Euphorbiaceae. The record is from RNAcentral.
AAAAAAAAAGAAAGAGGAGAAAUGAAUUACAAAACAUUUUAAAAGCCUACAACUAAAGAAAGGGGAGGAUAAAAGAUUAUAAGACCAUAAAUUUUAAAAUAAAGUCCUAAAUUCUAUUACAUAGCCCAUUGGACCCAUAACCUCAUAUAAGAGGCUUUGAAGUCAUCCUUGUACAUUGGCCCACCUUUAGUCCUCCUAGGGUUGCCUUUGUUAGUUUUAGGUCUGUCACGACUCGAUCCCAUGG